UGUAGUUUACAUUUCCUUGCUUUCCUUAUUCUCUUGCUCUUGAUUGGCUUUGGGAAGGAUCGAUAUCACUGUGCUUUUUGAAAGCUGUGUUUAUGAACCACAAUAAUCCUUCAUUAAAGAUGCUGGCGCCCACGGGAAGGCGAAGAGUGUGUGUGGUGAGUGAGAGUGUGUGUAUUAGGUGGGGGGGAUGGAGGGAGGGAUGGGGGGGUUUUGUAAAUGACUCAUGGUUUGAUUUCGCUGCUGAAUAAAUGGGAUCCUCUAGAGAAGCCACUGCAGUGUUCAUAUCGCUCUCUCCAUCUCUCUCAAUUUUCAAUUCAAUUCAAUGGGGCUUUAUUGGCAUGGGAAACAUAUGUUUAUAUUGCCAAAGCAAGUGCAAUUAAAUAACGUAAGGGUUAGGGUUAGGGUUAGAAACAAAAAAACAUUGAAAACAUUUUUUCAUCAAACAUUGCAAGGAGUGUUUCAAUAUUUUAGUUAAAAAAAAAAAGUUUAACCUUUAUUUAACUAGGCAAGCCAGUUAAGAACAAAUUCUUAUUUACAAUGAUGGCCCUACCCCGGCCAAACUCAGACGACGCUGGGCCAAUUGUGCGCCUCCCUAUGGGACUCCCGAUCACGGCCGGAUGUGAUACAGCCUGGAUUCGAACCAGGGACUCAGGGAAAAUAGUUGUCUUGUGAAAAGUAGGGGAAGAGGUCGGCAUAUGAUUGGAGGAUAACGCUGUCAGUCUCAGGAAUGUCAGGACAAAACAGAACAUCUGGAAGAGGUCGGCAUAUGAUUGGAGGAUAAUGUUAGAAAGAGCAUUCUUGUACAUCUAUGUGAUGUCCCACCCCACCUGACUUAUUAUCAUCUAAUCUGUCUAUCUGGCAGGCGUUAGGUGCUGCAUCUAUCUGGCAGGCGUUAGGUGCUGCAUCUAUCUGGCAGGCGUUAGGUGCUGCAUCUAUCUGGCAGGCGUUAGGUGCUGCAUCUAUCUGGCAGGCGUUAGGUGCUGCAUCUAUCUGGCAGGCGUUAGGUGCUGCAUCUAUCUGGCAGGCGUUAGGUGCUGCAUCUAUCUGGCAGGCGUUAGGUGCUGCAUCUAUCUGGCAGGCGUUAGGUGCUGCAUCUAUCUGGCAGGCGUUAGGUGCUGCAUCUAUCUGGCAGGCGUUAGGUGCUGCAUCUAUCUGGCAGGCGUUAGGAGCUGCAUCUAUCUGGCAGGCGUUAGGCGCAGCAUCUAUCUGGCAGGCGUUAGGCGCAGCAUCUAUCUGGCAGGCGUUAGGCGCAGCAUCUAUCUGGCAGGCGUUAGGCGCAGCAUCUAUCUGGCAGGCGUUAGGCGCAGCAUCUAUCUGGCAGGCGUUAGGCGCAGCAUCUAUCUGGCAGGCGUUAGGCGCAGCAUCUAUCUGGCAGGCGUUAGGCGCUGCAUCAGUCUAUCUGGCAGACGUUAGGCGCUGCAUCCGUCUAUCUGGCAGGCGUUAGGCGCAGCAUCUAUCUGGCAGGCGUUAGGCGCUGCAUCAGUCUAUCUGGCAGGCGUUAGGCGCAGCAUCAGUCUAUCUGGCAGGCGUUAGGCGCAGCAUCUAUCU
Molecule: long non-coding RNA, 1548 nt
Organism: Oncorhynchus keta (chum salmon)
Lineage: Eukaryota; Metazoa; Chordata; Actinopteri; Salmoniformes; Salmonidae
Exons: 3
Source: RefSeq, a predicted model, not a curated record